This 517-nucleotide ribosomal RNA is filed under the name uncultured bacterium. Its description in RNAcentral is "bacterial SSU rRNA". It matches the Rfam family "Bacterial small subunit ribosomal RNA", at positions 24 to 518 of the family's 1533-position model. The record is from RNAcentral.
UCAGGACGAACGCUGGCGGCGUGCCUAACACAUGCAAGUCGAACGGGGAUUUGUUUCGGCAGAAUCCUAGUGGCGAACGGGUGAGUAACGCGUAGGCAACCUGCCCUCCGGCCGGGGGACAACACUCCGAAAGGGGUGCUAAUACCGGAUACGAAGUCUGUGCCGCAUGGUACGGAUUUGAAAGAUGGCCUCUAUUUAUAAGCUAUCGCCGGGGGAUGGGCCUGCGUCCGAUUAGCUGGUUGGUGGGGUAACGGCCUACCAAGGCGACGAUCGGUAGCCGGUCUGAGAGGAUGAACGGCCACAUUGGGACUGAGACACGGCCCAGACUCCUACGGGAGGCAGCAGUGGGGAAUCUUCCGCAAUGGGCGCAAGCCUGACGGAGCAACGCCGCGUGAGUGAGGAAGUUCUUCGGAACGUAAAGCUCUGUUGUUCCUGACGAACCUCCCUUCUAUGAACAACGGAGGGGACUGACGGUAGGGAACGAGGAAGCCACGGCUAACUACGUGCCAGCCGCUGC